This 902-nucleotide long non-coding RNA is filed under the name Crocodylus porosus (Australian saltwater crocodile). Its description in RNAcentral is "lncRNA (ENSCPRG00005002300.1)". The record is from RNAcentral. Lineage: Eukaryota; Metazoa; Chordata; Crocodylia; Crocodylidae.
UCAGAUUCCAAACAUUGCCCUGCUAUGAAGUACCUGCCACCACCUGGCAGAGGUUCCAGGAUUGAAGGGGGAGAAACUCAAAGAAGCAGUGUAGAAUCAGUGUUCACCUACAUGCAAGCAGGAGCCCAGCUUCUCUGCACAGUGUUGCUGAUCAAACCUGGUGCCUGGGCACGUAACCUUGCCAGGAUCUUUCGAAAGCUAGAUUUAGAAAAAUUCAGCUUCGUUGGGAUGAAGAAUGUGACCCUGAAACCAGACAUCAUCUUAGGACUUCUCUCACCUGAAGCUAAGCAGGAUCCAGCAAUCUUGGAAGCUUCUUGCAACUACCUCACCUCAGGCUCCUCCCUUGUGUUGUGCCUUCAGAGACAGAAUGCUGUGAAGAAGCUACUUGACUUAUUGGGGCCAGAGGAUCCUCACCUGGCCAGAGCACAAAAUCCAUUCCUUUGGAGGGCUCAGUAUGGCACCAGCUUAAUCCAAAAUGGAUUUUACGGGUCUGUAUCCUACCAAAUGGCUGUCCAGGAUAUGAAACUGUUUUUUCCAGAAGGCCUGUGUUGUGCUAAGUGCCAGGUAUUAGAAGAAGAUCAGAUCUGGGACAUCAAAUGUGACCCAGUACUCGCUCUGGAAAUCAACAAGCAGCGCAAAAUUGUAAAAUGUGAAGUGAGAAGGCAACUCAAUAUUUUGGGCUCUGAGCAGCUGCCUGGGUUAGACCUGCCACUUCUGGGUACACUCUGCCAAACCACUUGCCUGAUAUUUCCCAAGAUAAUCCUUCAGGGUUCGGAGCACCCACCUUAUAUUGAACUACUAGACCAGCUGAUCGGCCAAGGUUUCACAGUGACAGGGUUACGACUCACCGUAUUCAACAAAUCCCAGGCUCAUCUUGUCUCUGAGAUACUGAGCAUGGCAAA